RNAcentral lists this long non-coding RNA (1470 nucleotides) under Pogona vitticeps (central bearded dragon). RNAcentral describes it as "lncRNA (ENSPVIG00000002081.1)". Lineage: Eukaryota; Metazoa; Chordata; Lepidosauria; Squamata; Agamidae. The record is from RNAcentral.
AAUUAAGUUUGCUACUUCUUUUAUUUCCAAAAGGCACAUCUCAUUCUUAACAUUGAUAUGGUAGGCAAGUACAACAUGGUCCUAUCCUGCUGAAAAUAGCUGUAACUACCGAAUUUAGCUGGUGCAAACGAGGAGGCAUUUGUUAACAUUUGCUCGCUACUUCAUAUUGAAGAUGGCACAAACUUCAGAUCUACAGAGUUUGAAUGCAGGAAAAAAGUGAUCUUUUCCCUGUUUCUAAUAUGUAUGGAGAAGAAAGAAGCCAUAGGAUGAAACUUGUGGAUGGGCAGGAAUCACCCCAAACUGGUGUCCACAUGAUGAUUUUGGUUCCAGUUCAUAUGCAGGGAAACUGUGGCCACAGACAAAACACAAGACAGUGUUGUCACUAUAAUCCAUAUAUAGAAACUGACAGGACUGGCAAUUGUAUCUUACUUGAACACUGGGAAUGGGAUAGCAUCUUCUGCCAUAUCUGAGGCUGCAGAGUUGUUUUCGGGGCGUAGAAUAGGUUUCAUGACAUACACUGCUCUGUUCUCCAGGAAGGGAGAGAAUUCAUGAUGAAUAACUAGAAGAUUGCCUCAGCUGCCCUCAGCAGCUGCCACCAGAAUCUGAGGCAAAUCCCCAACUCUGUCCUAUGUUAUUACUCUGUCAUAGAGUGGUGCCCUCUGUAUAUGGGGGACCACAACUCCCAGAAUUCCCCAGCCUAGUUAGAGAUGUCAUCUACAGUCCCUCCCACCACACAAAAUUGUGAAAUACAGCUGUGACCUUCACAGGCAUCUGCUUUAUGCACCUUCCCAGAGGCAUCUUGAUUAGCCACCUUUGGUGAGGUAAUGCUUCAUUCAGCACUUUUUCAUAUGGAUCCAGCAAAUCAGUUCUUCUGAUUUUUGCAUUCCAAUCUCACAGACUUCACUGCUGUUCUAGCCCUGACCUCUCUUUCAAGGGGGACAAGGCCCCUUUCAUGGACAUCUUCCAACAACUAAUUUCUUAAUGUUUCCAAAUGGCUGCACAACUCAGAGAGAACAUGCAUAUUAGAUGUGAAAUGUAACAUAAAUCUGUCCUGAUCAGAUGAGCUCGCUCCUUAUUGUGCAAAUGGUAUGUUUUCAGAGAAUUUUUCUUCUGGCUACAUUCCAAAAGAAGGAAGCAUUUUAAUUAUCUGCUAGUGCUGUGGGGGCCAUCAGAUGGCUUAAGGUUCAGCAUUUGGAUGAACUGGCACUUCAAAGUGCUUGAAGAUCAUGUGUAUCACCAACCAUACAUGAGUCAAUUAAUAAUGUGAAAUUUUUCAACUCAAGAAGGUCUGGAUUAUUUCUGAUGGCAGUUUGUUAAUUGAUUCCUGUAGAUGUAAUGGAGGACGUGAUGACACAAGACUCUAAUCUUUCUGAAGGGGAUGUCUAGAAGACACUGGCUGAAUAAUAUUUCUCCUAGAACUCAUUCUAUAAAUCUACAUUCUGCAUGGCAAUUUUGAUUUAAUAUGUGCCC